Molecule: ribosomal RNA, 451 nt
Filed under: uncultured bacterium
Lineage: Bacteria
Description: bacterial SSU rRNA
Rfam family: Bacterial small subunit ribosomal RNA
Source: RNAcentral
GUGGGGAAUAUUGGACAAUGGGCGCAAGCCUGAUCCAGCCAUGCCGCGUGUGUGAAGAAGGCCUUUUGGUUGUAAAGCACUUUAAGCGAGGAGGAGGCUCCUUUAGUUAAUACCUAAAGAGAGUGGACGUUACUCGCAGAAUAAGCACCGGCUAACUCUGUGCCAGCAGCCGCGGUAAUACAGAGGGUGCGAGCGUUAAUCGGAUUUACUGGGCGUAAAGCGUGCGUAGGCGGCUUUUUAAGUCGGAUGUGAAAUCCCUGAGCUUAACUUAGGAAUUGCAUUCGAUACUGGAAAGCUAGAGUAUGGGAGAGGAUGGUAGAAUUCCAGGUGUAGCGGUGAAAUGCGUAGAGAUCUGGAGGAAUACCGAUGGCGAAGGCAGCCAUCUGGCCUAAUACUGACGCUGAGGUACGAAAGCAUGGGGAGCAAACAGGAUUAGAAACCCUAGUAGUCC